UUAUAUAUCAACACUGUUUCUAACUUAAAUUCCUUCUAAUUAGCUCCCCCUUAUUUGAUAAGGGUCACCUUGAUUGUUGUUUGCAAGGAGUGAACGGCCCAACAACACUUGGCGAAUAUGAUUAGUAUACCGUGAGAUCAUCCCAUGAUGUUUUCCUGCUUGAGAGGAUGAUGGGACCUCCUCCACCAUUCCCAAUCCCAACUUUCAAUGGGAGGAUUUUCGUAUUGUUCCUGAUGUGUGCUUGCAAGUAGUGGUUCCCAGUAGCAGAUAUUCGUAUUUCUGAUGUGUACUUGCCAGUAGUAGUUACCAGGAGCGGCUCAUUUUUCACCAUUUUAUUUCUGAGAUUGCUCUAUCCCCAUUUUAACAGUAGCAUUACCUUCAAUAUCUAUCUUUUGGUGUUCAAAGUAGUUUGAAGUUGCUCUGUCGAUUGUGAUCACUCCUUAUUCAUAUUUUCUUUCACAAUAACACCCAGUUUCUCAUUUUAAUUCCAUCAUGAAUAUUAACAGAA
This is a long non-coding RNA of Papaver somniferum (opium poppy), 508 nucleotides long. RefSeq lists it as uncharacterized. The transcript is spliced from 2 exons. The record is from RefSeq and is a predicted model, not a curated record. Lineage: Eukaryota; Viridiplantae; Streptophyta; Magnoliopsida; Ranunculales; Papaveraceae.